Molecule: ribosomal RNA, 112 nt
Filed under: Escherichia coli
Lineage: Bacteria; Pseudomonadati; Pseudomonadota; Gammaproteobacteria; Enterobacterales; Enterobacteriaceae
Also listed under: 19 other names
Source: RNAcentral
GCGGCCGUAGCGCGGUGGUCCCACCUGACCCCAUGCCGAACUCAGAAGUGAAACGCCGUAGCGCCGAUGGUAGUGUGGGGUCUCCCCAUGCGAGAGUAGGGAACUGCCAGGC